GAACCUGCGGAAGGAUCAUUACCGAGUGAGGGCCCUUUGGGUCCAACCUCCCACCCGUGUUUAUUUUACCUUGUUGCUUCGGCGGGCCCGCCUUUACUGGCCGCCGGGGGGCUCACGCCCCCGGGCCCGCGCCCGCCGAAGACACCCCCGAACUCUGUCUGAAGAUUGAAGUCUGAGUGAAAAUAUAAAUUAUUUAAAACUUUCAACAACGGAUCUCUUGGUUCCGGCAUCGAUGAAGAACGCAGCGAAAUGCGAUACGUAAUGUGAAUUGCAAAUUCAGUGAAUCAUCGAGUCUUUGAACGCACAUUGCGCCCCCUGGUAUUCCGGGGGGCAUGCCUGUCCGAGCGUCAUUGCUGCCCUCAAGCCCGGCUUGUGUGUUGGGCCCCGUCCUCCGAUUCCGGGGGACGGGCCCGAAAGGCAGCGGCGGCACCGCGUCCGGUCCUCGAGCGUAUGGGGCUUUGUCACCCGCUCUGUAGGCCCGGCCGGCGCUUGCCGAUCAACCCAAAUUUUUAUC
RNAcentral lists this ribosomal RNA (514 nucleotides) under Penicillium polonicum. RNAcentral describes it as "eukaryotic LSU rRNA". The stretch from base 198 to 350 matches the Rfam family "5.8S ribosomal RNA". The record is from RNAcentral. Lineage: Eukaryota; Fungi; Ascomycota; Eurotiomycetes; Eurotiales; Aspergillaceae.